Molecule: ribosomal RNA, 264 nt
Filed under: uncultured Glomeromycotina
Lineage: Eukaryota; Fungi; Glomeromycota
Description: partial 18S ribosomal RNA
Rfam family: Eukaryotic small subunit ribosomal RNA
Source: RNAcentral
UUAAAAAGCUCGUAGUUGAAUUUCGGGACCAUCAUGUCGGUCGUGCCUCGGUACGUACUGGCAUUGUUGGUUUCUCCCUUCUGACGAACCAUGAUGUCAUUAAUUUGGUGUCUUGGGGAAUCAGGACUGUUACUUUGAAAAAAUUAGAGUGUUUAAAGCAGGCUCACGCUUGAAUACAUUAGCAUGGAAUAAUGAAAUAGGACGUUUGAUUCUAUUUUGUUGGUUUCUAGGAUCGACGUAAUGAUUAAUAGGGAUAGUUGGGGG